GCGUCCUUAGCUCAGCUGGAUAGAGCAACGGCCUUCUAAGCCGUGGGUCGCAGGUUCGAAUCCUGCAGGACGCGCCA
This 77-nucleotide transfer RNA is filed under the name Catenovulum agarivorans DS-2. Its description in RNAcentral is "tRNA-Arg". It matches the Rfam family "tRNA". From Rfam's summary of the family: Transfer RNA (tRNA) molecules are approximately 80 nucleotides in length. Their secondary structure includes four short double-helical elements and three loops (D, anti-codon, and T loops). Further hydrogen bonds mediate the characteristic L-shaped molecular structure. tRNAs have two regions of fundamental functional importance: the anti-codon, which is responsible for specific mRNA codon recognition, and the 3' end, to which the tRNAs corresponding amino acid is attached (by aminoacyl-tRNA synthetases). tRNAs cope with the degeneracy of the genetic code in two manners: having more than one tRNA (with a specific anti-codon) for a particular amino acid; and 'wobble' base-pairing, i.e. permitting non-standard base-pairing at the 3rd anti-codon position. The record is from RNAcentral. Lineage: Bacteria; Pseudomonadati; Pseudomonadota; Gammaproteobacteria; Alteromonadales; Alteromonadaceae. RNAcentral also lists the same sequence under 3 other names.